GACGAACGCUGGCGGCGUGCUUAACACAUGCAAGUCGAACGAAGUGGCGAACGGGUGAGUAAUACGGGAGUAACCUGCCCUCCUUUUUGGGAUAAGCCUUGGAAACGGGGUCUAAUACCGGAUAAAGGGGGAUGGGCUCGCGGCCUCUCAGCUUGUUGGUGGGGUUAUGGCCUACGAAGGCGGUGACGGGUAGGCGGCCUGAGAGGGGGACCGGCCAGAUUGGGACUGAGAUACGGCCUAGACUACGACGCGGGGCAGCAGUGGGGGAUAUUGCGGAAGGGGCGAAAGCCUGAUGCGGCGACGCCGCGUGGGGGAUGAAGGCUUUCGGGUUGUAAACCUGUUUCGCUAUCGAACCGGUAGGUGGAGAAGAAGCGCCGGCUAACUACGUGCCAGCCGCCGCGGUAAUAC
Molecule: ribosomal RNA, 408 nt
Filed under: uncultured bacterium
Lineage: Bacteria
Description: partial 16S ribosomal RNA
Rfam family: Bacterial small subunit ribosomal RNA
Source: RNAcentral